Molecule: transfer RNA, 66 nt
Filed under: Heteralonia sp.
Lineage: Eukaryota; Metazoa; Arthropoda; Insecta; Diptera; Bombyliidae
Description: tRNA-Tyr
Source: RNAcentral
GAUUAAAUGGCUGAAGAUAGGCGGUAAAUUGUAAAUUUACUUAUGGGGAUUUAUCCUCUUUGAUCA